RNAcentral lists this ribosomal RNA (1932 nucleotides) under Triticum aestivum (bread wheat). RNAcentral describes it as "partial small subunit ribosomal RNA". Lineage: Eukaryota; Viridiplantae; Streptophyta; Magnoliopsida; Poales; Poaceae. The record is from RNAcentral.
AUGGAUUAUCGGUUUGAGAAGAUGGAGAUUCUCUGGAACCACUUCAAUGACCUAAUUGGCAAAAAGAAGAUGCGCGGCUGUAGACUAAAAUAUGAUGAGCUUGGUAUUCUUGCUUCUGACCUAUCUGCAUUGGACAAUGCUUUUUCAGAAGAGGAAGUAAGGGCCGCCUUAAUGGAAAUUAACCCAAGAAAGGCGCCGGGACCGGACGGAUUCACUGCGCACUUCUUCCAGGUCUGCUGGGAGAUGAUCAAGGCCGAUAUUAUGAUGGCAAUCAAGGCGUUCGAGAACCUGAAUUCAACCUACCUGCAAUGUCUCAAUGAAGCCACAAUGAUUCUUAUUCCUAAGAGUGCAGAUGCUGAAGAGGCCAAGGACUAUAGACCAAUCAGUCUCAUUUCUUUCUUUGCAAAAUUAAUAAUGAAGAUUCUUGCUACAAGACUGCAGCCCAAGAUGAAUGACCUUGUGCUGCCCACUCAAAGUGCAUUCAUUAAAGGAAGAUCUUUGCACGACAAUUUUAUUCUUGUGCAGGGCAUGACACGGCAGCUGUACCUAAAGAAGAUCCCUGCCCUCCUAUUGAAGCUUGAUGUGCAAAAGGCCUUUGACAGUGUUUCCUGGGAGUUCCUGCUUGAAGUCCUCACUGCAAAAGGCUUUGGUCAAAAUUGGCGCAACUGGAUCUCAUUGAUCCUUGCAUCGGCAUCCACAAGGAUCCUUGUAAAUGGCGAGCUGUCAGCAACAAUCUACCAUCACAAAGGCCUGCGCCAGGGUGACCCGCUAUCGCCAUUGUUGUUUGUCCUCGUGAUUGACAUGUUGGACGCCCUAAUCCGUACUGCCGUCAGUAACCAGUUGUUCAGCCCCCUCGCUACGAACUUGCCAUCCAUCAGGGCAUCAUUCUACGCAGAUGAUGUUGUCAUGUUCAUCAAGCCCUCGAGACAUGAGAUCACUGUAACCAAGGCCAUUUUUGACACCUUUGCUGAUGCAAGUGGGCUGACGACAAACUUCCAGAAGAGCAGUAUAUGCGGCAUCCGCUGUGAGGAGAUAAACAUCGCUACACUUGCUGCCACCCUUCAAUGCCCGGUUAAAGAGUUCCCCUGCACCUACUUGGGGAUGCCGCUAGGUGUCACGAAGCUCAAAAGAAUCCAUUACCAGCCCAUUUUUGACAAGCUGCAUAAGAAGACCAAGGGGUGGAACAAGCUGCACAUGUCGAUUUCCGAUCGGGUUGCUCUGAUCAGAUCGGUCCUAUAUGCUAUCCCCACAUUCCAGUUGUUGGCGAUCGACCCAAAUCCGUGGAUGGUUAAGAAGAUUGACAAGCUCUGCCGUGGGUUCCUCUGGGCCAACAAAGAUGAAGCCCCUGGUGGGAAAUGUCUGAUAAAUUGGAAGCAGGUAUGCCUGCCUCGUGCCAUGGGCGGCCUAGGCAUGCCUAGUCUGGGAUACAAGAGCUUGGCCCUGAGAUGCAGAUGGCUUUGGUUAUCUUGGAUGGAUCGAUCCAAGCCAUGGAUUGGGCUUCCCCUGCCUGUCGACCGGACCGUGCGACAACUUUUCGAGGUGUCGGUGGACUUCUCAAUUGGGGAUGGCAUGAUCACAAAAUUCUGGACUGACCCAUGGCUGCGGCGUCAAAGUCUAUGCACAACUUACCCCGACCUUUUUGGCCAGUGCACCCUCCGGCGCAUAACCAUUGCUGCGGCUUUGCAUAAUGACAAGUGGAUGAGACAUUUCAAGGCCAACAUGACUGCUGACGCGCUCCUCCAGUUCACAAACCUAUGGCAUGACCUUCAAGCAGUGCACCUAAAUCCAGAUCAGCAGGACUCAAUCUCAUGGAGAUGGACGGCCAAUGGUGUUUACAGCGCAGCCUCUGUGAACAAAAUUCUCUUUGCAGCAACCAUCAAGCAGGACUUUGCCAAAAUGGCCUGGAACUCCGAGGCCCCGCCGAAGUGCUAG